RNAcentral lists this ribosomal RNA (256 nucleotides) under uncultured archaeon. RNAcentral's name for it is "partial 16S ribosomal RNA". It matches the Rfam family "Archaeal small subunit ribosomal RNA", at positions 727 to 982 of the family's 1478-position model. The record is from RNAcentral.
CAUUAGAUACCCGGGUAGUCCCAGCCGUAAACUAUGCGCGUUAGGUGUAUCGGUGACCACGAGUUACCGAGGUGCCGAAGGGAAACCGUGAAACGUGCCGCCUGGGAAGUACGGUCGCAAGGCUGAAACUUAAAGGAAUUGGCGGGGGAGCACCACAACAGGUGGAGCCUGCGGUUUAAUUGGACUCAACGCCGGGAAGCUCACCGGAUAGGACAGCAGAAUGAUUGCCGGGCUGAAGACCCUGCAUGACUAGCUG